UCCUUUGGCAACUGCACCCCCUCUUCCUUCUCCUUUUUUUUCAAUCUAAUAUGUGGGACAUACCAAGUGAUGAGAUCCUUUCUGGCAUCCUAAGAAAAUGCCAACUAUAGAACAACAGAUGUAGUCUCCUUAUUAAGUCUGAAGACCAAACUUCUUAGUGCAAAGCAGUCAAGUCUUUUCUCAACAUGACCCCAAUCAAGCUUUUGAACUUAACAUCAAAAUAUAACUUCAGAAGAACGUUUGGAAUAGAGCUCAGUUCAAACUCUUCCUAUUGCAAACGAGGAAAUGGCUAUAGAAGCAGAGUGCCCAAAGAAUGCGAAUGCAACUGGCUUCAUCUUGAAAGCGACACUCUGAAGAAAUUACCCAUAAUUUCUCCCUCUUGGACAUGCAGAAUUAUCCUGUUCUUGUAUUUUUCUGGCCAGCUUCUCCAACUUUCCCUUUCUUGUUUGCAACUAAUUAAACUUUAUGGAUAAGAA
Molecule: long non-coding RNA, 476 nt
Organism: Homo sapiens (human)
Lineage: Eukaryota; Metazoa; Chordata; Mammalia; Primates; Hominidae
Gene: MAGI2-AS2
Product: MAGI2 antisense RNA 2
Source: Ensembl